GUGCUCACUUUGGCAGCACAUAUACUAAAAUUGGAAGGACUCAAAGAAGAUCACCAUAGCUCCUGGGCAAAUGCAAACUGGCGAAAUGUUUCAGUUUCUU
This is a small nuclear RNA of Pongo abelii (Sumatran orangutan), 100 nucleotides long. The record is from Ensembl. Lineage: Eukaryota; Metazoa; Chordata; Mammalia; Primates; Hominidae.